AUUGAACGCUGGCGGCAGGCCUAACACAUGCAAGUCGAGCGGCAGCGGGAAAGUAGCUUGCUACUUUUGCCGGCGAGCGGCGGACGGGUGAGUAAUGCCUGGGAAAUUGCCCAGUCGAGGGGGAUAACAGUUGGAAACGACUGCUAAUACCGCAUACGCCCUACGGGGGAAAGCAGGGGACCUUCGGGCCUUGCGCGAUUGGAUAUGCCCAGGUGGGAUUAGCUAGUUGGUGAGGUAAUGGCUCACCAAGGUGACGAUCCCUAGCUGGUCUGAGAGGAUGAUCAGCCACACUGGAACUGAGACACGGUCCAGACUCCUACGGGAGGCAGCAGUGGGGAAUAUUGCACAAUGGGGGAAACCCUGAUGCAGCCAUGCCGCGUGUGUGAAGAAGGCCUUCGGGUUGUAAAGCACUUUCAGCGAGGAGGAAAGGUUGAUGCCUAAUAUGUAUCAACUGUGACGUUACUCGCAGAAGAAGCACCGGCUAACUCCGUGCCAGCAGCCGCGGUAUACGGAGGGUGCAAGCGUUAAUCGGAAUUACUGGGCG
RNAcentral lists this ribosomal RNA (544 nucleotides) under uncultured Aeromonadaceae bacterium. Its description in RNAcentral is "bacterial SSU rRNA". It matches the Rfam family "Bacterial small subunit ribosomal RNA", at positions 28 to 560 of the family's 1533-position model. The record is from RNAcentral. Lineage: Bacteria; Pseudomonadati; Pseudomonadota; Gammaproteobacteria; Aeromonadales; Aeromonadaceae.